GCCCUCGUAGUUGAACGGAUACAACAAGGGAUUCCUAAUCCCUAGGUCUGGGUUCGAUUCCCGGCGAGGGCACCA
RNAcentral lists this transfer RNA (75 nucleotides) under Coriobacteriia bacterium. RNAcentral describes it as "tRNA-Arg". It matches the Rfam family "tRNA". From Rfam's summary of the family: Transfer RNA (tRNA) molecules are approximately 80 nucleotides in length. Their secondary structure includes four short double-helical elements and three loops (D, anti-codon, and T loops). Further hydrogen bonds mediate the characteristic L-shaped molecular structure. tRNAs have two regions of fundamental functional importance: the anti-codon, which is responsible for specific mRNA codon recognition, and the 3' end, to which the tRNAs corresponding amino acid is attached (by aminoacyl-tRNA synthetases). tRNAs cope with the degeneracy of the genetic code in two manners: having more than one tRNA (with a specific anti-codon) for a particular amino acid; and 'wobble' base-pairing, i.e. permitting non-standard base-pairing at the 3rd anti-codon position. The record is from RNAcentral. Lineage: Bacteria; Bacillati; Actinomycetota; Coriobacteriia.